UCAAGCUAGUAAGAGCGUAGGGUGGAUGCCUUGGCACCAGGAGCCUAAGAAGGACGCGAUAAGCUGCGAAAAGCUUCGGUGAGGCGCAAAUAGCCAUUGACCCGGAGAUGUCCGAAUGGGGCAACCCGUCUGGCAGGAGGCCAGACAGCCUAUAGUGAAUAAAAUAGCUAUAGCGCAGGCAAACCAGGGGAACUGAAACAUCUAAGUACCCUGAGGAAAAGAAAGAAACUUCGAUUCCCCAAGUAGCGGCGAGCGAACCGGGAAGAGCCCAAACCAGUGAAGCUAGACUUUACUGGGGUUUAGGAUAGGACACGAGGGGAUUGAAUCCCUUAGCCGAAUAGUACUGGAAAGUACAACCAUAGAGAGUAAGAGUCUCGUAGGCGAAAAGGGAAAAGUCCUCGUCCUAGUCCAGAGUACCACGGGACACGGGAAACCCUGUGGGAAGACGGGGGGACCACCCCCCAAGGCUAAAUACUCCCUGGUGACCGAUAGAGGAAAGUACCGUGAGGGAAAGGUGAAAAGCACCCCGGGAGGGGAGUGAAAUAGAACCUGAAACCCUAUGCUUACAAGCAGUCAGAGCCUAUAGUAGGUGAUGGCGUGCUUUUUGUAGAACGAACCAGCGAGUUACGGUCUGUAGCGAGGUUAAGCACCUAAGGUGCGAAGCCGCAGGGAAACCGAGUCUUAAAAGGGCGAAUAAGUUGCAGGCUGUAGACCCGAAACCGGGUGACCUACCCAUGUCCAGGGUGAAGUUUUGGUAAAACAAAAUGGAGGCCCGAACCCAUGACUGUUGAAAAAGUCUGGGAUGAGGUGUGGGUAGCGGUGAAAUUCCAAUCGAACUCGGAGAUAGCUGGUUCUCCCCGAAAUAGCUUUAGGGCUAGCGUUAACUUAGAGAGAUGGAGGUAGAGCACUGACUAGGCUAGGGGGAUUCACAUCUUACCGAACCUUAUCAAACUCCGAAUGCCAUUCUCUUUAGAGGUUAGCAGUCAGACUACGGGAGAUAAGUUUCGUAGUCGAGAGGGAAACAACCCAGACCAUCAGCUAAGGUCCCCAAGUACAAGUUAAGUGGGAAAGGAUGUGGGAUUGCACAGACAACCAGGAUGUUGGCUUAGAAGCAGCCAUUCAUUUAAAGAGUGCGUAAUAGCUCACUGUUCGAGUGAUCCUGCGCCGAAGAUGUCCGGGGCUAAAACUUGUCACCGAAGCUAUGGCUUGCCAAUUCGUUGGCAGGGGUAGGGGAGCAUUCCAUGGGGGCAGAAGUCCGAUCGUGAGAGAGGGUGGACCCCAUGGAAGAGAGAAUGCUGGUAUGAGUAGCGCAAGUUAGGUGAGAAUCCUAACCAUCGAAAGCCUAAGGUUUCCUGAGGAAGGUUCGUCCGCUCAGGGUAAGUCGGGGCCUAAGCCGAGGGCGAAAGCCGUAGGCGAUGGACAAUCGGUUGAGAUUCCGAUACCACCUUCAAGCGAUUGAGAGAAGGAGUGACACAGGAGGAUAGGUUAACCAGGGUGUUGGUGAUCCCUGGCCAAGCAGCAAGGGAGGCAACCCAGGCAAAUCCGGGAUGCUAUAUCUUAAGCUGUGACGGGGAGCGAAAUUUAAAGUAGCGAAGUAACCGAAUUCACACUGUCGAGAAAAGCUUCUAUCGAGCGAGGAGGUGCCCGUACCGCAAACCGACACAGGUAGGCGAGGAGAGAAUCCUAAGAUGAACGGGAGAAGUGUUGUUAAGGAACUAGGCAAAAUGACCCCGUAACCUCGGGAGAAGGGGUGCCAGGUAACCCUGGCCGCAGAGAAAUGGCCCAAACGACUGUUUAUCAAAAACACAGGUCUCUGCUAAAUCGAAAGAUGAAGUAUAGGGGCUGACGCCUGCCCGGUGCUGGAAGGUUAAGGGGAAGUGUUAGCGUAAGCGAAGCACAGAACUUAAGCCCCAGUAAACGGCGGCCGUAACUAUAACGGUCCUAAGGUAGCGAAAUUCCUUGUCAGGUAAGUUCUGACCCGCACGAAAGGCGUAACGAUUUGGGCACUGUCUCAACAACACCCCCGGCGAAAUUGUAGAACUCGUGAAGAUGCGAGUUACCCGCGACAGGACGGAAAGACCCCGUAGAGCUUUACUGCAGCCUGAUAUUGGAUUUUGGUAUUACAUGUACAGGAUAGGUGGGAGACUAAGAAUCUAGGACGCCAGUUUUGGAGGAGUCGCCCUUGGGAUACCACUCUUGUAAUACUGAAGUUCUAACCAGUGGCCAUAACCUGGUCAUGGGACAUUGUCAGGUGGGCAGUUUGACUGGGGCGGUCGCCUCCGAAAGAGUAACGGAGGCGCUCAAAGGUUACCUCAGAAUGGUUGGAAAUCAUUUAAAGAGUGCAAAGGCAAAAGGUAGCCUAACUGCGAGAGAGACAUCUCGAGCAGAGACGAAAGUCGGACUUAGUGAUCCGGUGGUACCGAGUGGAAGGGCCAUCGCUCAACGGAUAAAAGCUACCUCGGGGAUAACAGGCUUAUCUCCCCCAAGAGUCCACAUCGACGGGGAGGUUUGGCACCUCGAUGUCGGCUCGUCACAUCCUGGGGCUGAAGUAGGUCCCAAGGGUUGGGCUGUUCGCCCAUUAAAGUGGCACGCGAGCUGGGUUCAGAACGUCGUGAGACAGUUCGGUCCCUAUCCGUCGUGGGCGCAGGAAAUUUGAGAGGAUCUGUCCUUAGUACGAGAGGACCGGGAUGGACAUACCUCUGGUGCACCAGUUGUCGAGCCAUCGGCAUAGCUGGGUAGCUAUGUAUGGCAGGGAUAAGCGCUGAAGGCAUCUAAGCGCGAAGCCCCCCUCAAGAUAAGAUUUCCCACCCGACACUCAACUAUGUUUAUUAGGAGGAUGCAUAUGUAUUAUGUAUAUAUCAUA
This 2863-nucleotide ribosomal RNA is filed under the name metagenome. RNAcentral's name for it is "bacterial LSU rRNA". It matches the Rfam family "Bacterial large subunit ribosomal RNA". The record is from RNAcentral.